UCCUGAGAAAUGGCCGGAGGCUAGAGGAGUGAGACUCCUUUCCAAGGACCCCCCUCCCAGGCAGGAAGGGCACAAGGCAUAGCUCCUGCAGGGCAGCAGCCCCCGCGGGGUGGAGGCCCAUGCAGCACCACCCCGUGCCCGCCCCGCCUGGAGC
This is a non-coding RNA of Vicugna pacos (alpaca), 154 nucleotides long. The record is from RefSeq and is a predicted model, not a curated record. NCBI's taxonomy places the organism in Eukaryota, Metazoa, Chordata, Mammalia, Artiodactyla, Camelidae.